This 72-nucleotide transfer RNA is filed under the name Cantharellus cibarius (golden chanterelle). RNAcentral's name for it is "tRNA-Asn". It matches the Rfam family "tRNA". Rfam says of the family: Transfer RNA (tRNA) molecules are approximately 80 nucleotides in length. Their secondary structure includes four short double-helical elements and three loops (D, anti-codon, and T loops). Further hydrogen bonds mediate the characteristic L-shaped molecular structure. tRNAs have two regions of fundamental functional importance: the anti-codon, which is responsible for specific mRNA codon recognition, and the 3' end, to which the tRNAs corresponding amino acid is attached (by aminoacyl-tRNA synthetases). tRNAs cope with the degeneracy of the genetic code in two manners: having more than one tRNA (with a specific anti-codon) for a particular amino acid; and 'wobble' base-pairing, i.e. permitting non-standard base-pairing at the 3rd anti-codon position. The record is from RNAcentral. Lineage: Eukaryota; Fungi; Basidiomycota; Agaricomycetes; Cantharellales; Hydnaceae. RNAcentral also lists the same sequence under 2 other names.
GGUAUUAUAGCAUAGCGGUCAUGCAGAGCACUGUUAAUGCUCCUUACAGAGGUUCGACUCCUCUUAAUACCU